RNAcentral lists this ribosomal RNA (793 nucleotides) under uncultured archaeon. RNAcentral describes it as "bacterial SSU rRNA". It matches the Rfam family "Archaeal small subunit ribosomal RNA", at positions 85 to 879 of the family's 1478-position model. The record is from RNAcentral.
ACGGCUCAGUAACACGUAGUCAACCUAACCUAUGGACGGGAAUAACCUCGGGAAACUGAGAAUAAUGCCCGAUAGAACACUAUACCUGGAAUGGUUUGUGUUCCAAAUGAUUUAUCGCCAUAGGAUGGGACUGCGGCCUAUCAGUUUGUUGGUGAGGUAAUGGCCCACCAAGACUAUUACAGGUACGGGCUCUGAGAGGAGUAGCCCGGAGAUGGGUACUGAGACACGGACCCAGGCCCUAUGGGGCGCAGCAGGCGAGAAAACUUUGCAAUGUGCGAAAGCACGACAAGGUUAAUCCGAGUGAUUUGUGCUAAACGAAUCUUUUGUUAGUCCUAGAAACACUAACGAAUAAGGGGUGGGCAAGUUCUGGUGUCAGCCGCCGCGGUAAAACCAGCACCUCAAGUGGUCAGGAUGAUUAUUGGGCCUAAAGCAUCCGUAGCCGGCUCUGUAAGUUUUCGGUUAAAUCUGUACGCUUAACGUACAGGCUGCCGGGAAUACUGCAGAGCUAGGGAGUGGGAGAGGUAGACGGUACUCGGUAGGAAGUGGUAAAAUGCUUUGAUCCAUCGAUGACCACCUGUGGCGAAGGCGGUCUACCAGAACACGUCCGACGGUGAGGGAUGAAAGCUGGGGGAGCAAACCGGAUUAGAUACCCGGGUAGUCCCAGCUGUAAACUAUGCAAACUCAGUGAUGCAUUGGCUUGUGGCCAAUGCAGUGCUGCAGGGAAGCCGUUAAGUUUGCCGCCUGGGAAGUACGUACGCAAGUAUGAAACUUAAAGGAAUUGGCGGGGGAGCAC